Molecule: ribosomal RNA, 408 nt
Filed under: uncultured bacterium
Lineage: Bacteria
Description: partial 16S ribosomal RNA
Rfam family: Bacterial small subunit ribosomal RNA
Source: RNAcentral
GACGAACGCUGGCGGCGUGCUUAACACAUGCAAGUCGAACGAAGUGGCGAACGGGUGAGUAACGCGUAAUCAACCUGCCCUUCAGAGGGGGACAACAGUUGGAAACGACUGCUAAUACCGCAUACGGAAGGAGGGGAUUGCGUCUGAUUAGCUAGUGGGAGGGGUAACGGCCCACCAGGGGGAUGAUCAGUAGCCGGUCUGAGAGGUUGAACGGCCACAUUGGGACUGCGGCACGGCCCAAACUCCUACGGGAGGCAGCAGUGGGGAAUCUUCCGCAAUGGACGGAAGUCUGACGGAGCAACGCCGCGGGAGUGAUGACGGCCUUCGGGUUGUAAAGCUCUGUUAAGCGGGACGCGGUACCGGAAUAGGAAGCCACGGCUAACUACGUGCCAGCAGCCGCGGUAAUAC